Non-coding RNA from Ornithorhynchus anatinus (platypus), 78 nucleotides. NCBI's taxonomy places the organism in Eukaryota, Metazoa, Chordata, Mammalia, Monotremata, Ornithorhynchidae. The record is from RefSeq and is marked provisional.
GGCUGCUGGUGAUUCCUGAAGCGAGUGAAAUGUGUGUAUAGAACUGAUUUUGUUUGGGAAUCCACAGAAAGACAGGCC